RNAcentral lists this ribosomal RNA (468 nucleotides) under uncultured bacterium. RNAcentral describes it as "partial 16S ribosomal RNA". It matches the Rfam family "Bacterial small subunit ribosomal RNA", at positions 28 to 507 of the family's 1533-position model. The record is from RNAcentral.
GACGAACGCUGGCGGCGUGCUUAACACAUGCAAGUCGAACGGAAAGGCCCUGCUUUUGUGGGGUGCUCGAGUGGCGAACGGGUGAGUAACACGUGAGUAACCUGCCCUUGACUUUGGGAUAACUUCAGGAAACUGGGGCUAAUACCGGAUAGGAGCUCCUGCUGCAUGGUGGGGGUUGGAAAGUUUCGGCGGUUGGGGAUGGACUCGCGGCUUAUCAGCUUGUUGGUGGGGUAGUGGCUUACCAAGGCUUUGACGGGUAGCCGGCCUGAGAGGGUGACCGGCCACAUUGGGACUGAGAUACGGCCCAGACUCCUACGGGAGGCAGCAGUGGGGAAUAUUGCACAAUGGGCGGAAGCCUGAUGCAGCAACGCCGCGUGCGGGAUGACGGCCUUCGGGUUGUAAGCCGCUUUCGCCUGUGACGAAGCGUGAGUGGCGGUAAUGGGUAAAGAAGCACCGGCUAACUACGUG